UGAAAACUCUUAUUCUUUCAAACUGCUUAAGACUGAAGAAGCUUCCAGAGAUACGGGAAAAUAUGGAGAGUUUGAAAGAGCUUUUUCUAGAUGACACUGGUCUAAGAGAGCUACCUUCAUCAAUUGAGCAUCUAAAUGAGCUUGUUUUGUUGCAGAUGAAAAAUUGUAAAAAACUUGCAAGUCUUCCAGAAAGCAUUUUUAAGUUGAAGUCCCUGAAAACUCUUACUAUUUCAAACUGCUUAAGACUGAAGAAGCUUCCAGAGAUACGGGAAAAUAUGGAGAGUUUGAAAGAGCUUUUUCUAGAUGACACUGGUCUAAGAGAGCUACCUUCAUCAAUCGAGCAUCUAAAUGGGCUUGUUUUGUUGAAGCUGAAAAAUUGUAAAAAACUUGCAAGUCUUCCAGAAAGCAUUUGUAAGCUGACGUCUCUUCAGACUCUUACUCUAUCUGGUUGUUCAGAACUGAAGAAAUUGCCAGAUGACAUGGGGAGCCUACAAUGUUUAGUAAAGCUCGAAUCAAAUGGAAGUGGUAUACAGGAGGUACCCACCUCUAUUACUCUUUUGACAAACCUUCAAGUAUUAUCAUUAACAGGAUGUAAGGGAGGGGAAUCUAAGUCAAGGAAUCUGGCUUUAUCUUUGCGCUCAUCACCAACAGAAGGAUUCCGGCUGUCUUCUUUGACGGCUUUAUACUCCUUGAAAGAGUUGAAUUUAAGUGACUGCAACCUACUGGAAGGAGCACUACCCAGUGAUCUUAGUUCCUUAUCUUGGUUGGAGCGUUUAGAUCUGAGUAUAAACAGUUUCAUCACCGUGCCUAGCCUCAGUCGACUUCCUCAACUCGAAAGGCUCAUACUGGAACACUGCAAGAGUCUUCAAUCAUUGCCAGAGCUUCCAUCAAGUAUUAUAGAAUUAUUGGCCAACGAUUGCACAUCCCUGGAAAACAUUUCAUAUCUAUCAAGUGGAUUUGUAUUGAGGAAGUUCUGUGAUUUCAACUUCGAAUUUUGUAAUUGCUUCCGACUAAUGGAGAAUGAGCAGAGUGACACUUUGGAAGCUAUCCUACUCGCAAUUCGGCGUUUUGCAUCAGUAACGAAAUUUAUGGAUCCAAUGGAUUAUUCUUCGCUUCGCACAGUAUGUUAUUAUUUGUUUGCGUAUGCUAAGAAUUCUUAGAACAUAAUUUAAUGUCGUGUUAAAUAAUUGAGACAAUCCCACAAAUAAUCUUGGAAUACUAAUCCUAGAAUAUUAUUUCUCUACAUGCAUGCCGCUAACUUUUUCAUGAUUCAGUUUGCUUCAAGGAUUCCGUAUGAUGCUGUUGUUCCUGGGAGUAGCAUUCCAGAGUGGUUCACCGAUCAGAGCGUGGGGUGUUCAGUAACUGUAGAGCUGCCUCCGCAUUGGUAUACUACCAGGUUGAUAGGAUUGGCUGUUUGUGCUGUUUUCCACCCAAACAUCAGCAAGGGUAAGUUCGGCCGUUCUGCAUACUUUAGUAUGAAUGAAUCUGUCGGCUUCUCUAUCGACAACACGGCUUCCAUGCAUUUUUCAAAAGCUGAGCACAUCUGGUUUGGGUAUCGAUCCCUUUUUGGAGUGGUUUUCAGCCGGAGCAUCGAUCACCUGGAGGUUUCAUUUUCUGAAUCCAUUCGUGCCGGCGAAGUGGUGAAAAAGUGUGGGGUUCGUCUGAUCUUUGAGCAAGAUCUUCCAUUUGGCCGGGAGGAGAUGAACCAUGUGAGCUUGAGGAAAUCUGGUCCAAAUUUUUUCAUUCCUUAAUUUAUUAAAAUAAACAUAUUAAAGCAAUAAUUUUUGUAAUUGCUGAAAUGUUAUGCUACAUAUUUUUAACCAUUAAAUAUCUUGGUAAAGUUGUUUUAAGUGAAUACGUACCUUUUUCAUAAUCAAUGAUUCUAAUGAAUAAAAACUUAUUAAUUUAUUUUAUAAACUACUCUUAAAUGUUAUAUUUUAAUUAUUUUUAGUUAAAUACAUACAAAUUCUAAUAAAAACAUGUUUUUUCAUUUUUUUUAAAAUGUAGAAAAAAUAAUACUUUCUUUUGAUUUACUUUAUUGAAGAGUCCACCAAAAGUCUUUAGUGAAACAUAAAAAGAAUUCAUUUUAAGUUGAAUCAUUUCAUUCAAUUUAAUGAAAAAUACGUUAAUUUCUUCAGAUAUCUCAACAUGAAGAAAGUGAAGGAAGUUAUUAUAGGUGGAGACUCAGAUAUCCGAGGUAAUCACUUGCUUUUAAUAUGUUUUUAGGUCUUUUUACUACUCCAUUAGAUUAAGAUAUGAACAAAAUUUUGAUUUCCUCUUUCAUUUAAACUGUUUUGAACUAUUUCUUUUUCUUCUUUAGUGUGAACAUUGUCCAUGAUCAUUUCUUGAAGUAUAUUCAAGAUUUGAUGCUCACCUACUCCAUCUAUGUUCUAUUCAUAGAUGUCAUCACCAUCAUACUUUGAUUAGAUGAUUUGAUUCCUUUCUUCAUAUUAAAGAUCAGGAGGUGUUGGUCUAGGGUAAUAAUUUCUAGUUUUGUUUUGUUGUUUGAAUUGAUGGUUUAUUCUAUUUAUUUGAGGGUCUUGAUCCUUAAAUAUGGAUUUCAACCUAUCAAUAUUUAAAUUUGAAGUUUCUGUUAUAACAUUUACAACUUUUGUAUUUGUAGAGGAAGGUUUGAAGGAGAGGUCUAGUUGUUCUAACCGAUUUGUUAAUCUAUUGAUUAAUUCAUUGUUCGAUUUUGAAAAUUUGAUUGGUUCACUUCCUACUUCCGCAAGUUUGAAAAUCAUACGAUUUUUGUCUAAUUUUUGUUUGGAAAUUGGGGAAGAGUGAUUAAAGGAUUAUUUGGAAGUUCUAAGUUGUUUUCUAUUCUAUCUAAUUGAGAAGAGAGAGUACCUAACAUUUGAUUAGUAAAUUUAUUUUUUUGUUGAAGGUUUUUACAGUAUUUUAAGGUUACUGUUCUUCCUUCAUUAUCCUUUAAUCCUAUUAUUUUGAAAGGUGAAGCGAUGAUUUCAAUAUUUCGAGUUUUUAUGGUUAUUUCCUCUAAAGGAGGAUGAUUCGAAAUAACAAUUUUGCAUGACGUAGUUUUCCAAGGUUGGUUAUCUAGAAAAUAUAUAAUAUUAGUGAAUUGAAUUUUUUAAUUUUCAUUUUUAAAACCAAAUUUUAAUUGACUCCAUUCUAAUUUAUUUAUAGUUUUCUUUAUUUCAAUAAUGAUUUUGAAUUCAAUAAAUAACAUAUCAUUUUAUUUCAUUUUGAUGAUCAUUGUGGACUAAUAUUUUUUCAAUUAUUUUAUGUGAUUAAAUUCAUAUUUGUAUUAAUUGAACAUAUUUUGUGUGCUAAGUUGUGCCUUUUUGUCUUAACUAAAUAAAAAACUUGAAAGAAAUUAAAGAAUUAUCUAGAGGUUGACGAGAGUUUAGUUUUAAUAGAUAUAUUAUGCUAGAGUAACAGAGUUGGACACACAAGAACCAAUAAAAAAAACUAGAAAAAAAAUGAGAAAAUUAGGAAGAGAUGUAAUAAAAUGAAUAUAUAUAUAUAGGGAUUAAAAUGGAUUAAAAUAUUAUUUUGUAUAUUAAAAGAUUAAAAUAUAUUUUAUUUUGUAUAGGGAGACUAUUUACCAUUUUUUUUAGUAUAAUAACCAAAAUAGUCGUGUGAGUGCUGUUAGACGCAGUUGGUCUGUUGAUUUAAAGCCCCGCACGAGUAGUCGCCAAACAUGGUGGUUUAGCUACGCCCAAAAUUCUACCGCGUGCAAAGAAUUGGAUGGAGGCAAAAGUUAGUGGGAAAGUUGGCAUUAAGGUAUGUAGUGGCAGUCUAUAAAUAAUAUUAUGGACACGGUGGUAUUUUUUAGAAACGAGUAGGGCCCAACCGCCACUACAAGGAAAAAGGUAUAUGGUGACAUUUAUAACGAGUCACCAUAAACAUAGGGUGUCACUACAACAUAAUGUCACCUUCUCCACUGACACCAUAGAGGGUACCAAUUGGUGACGUACUUGGAAGUGACACCAAAGUAGAUAAAUGGUGACCCAUUCGGAAGUGACACCAUAUAUUUCUAGUGAUGAUAGGGUGUCACAUUAAAUACAUCAUCUUUGAGUUAUGAUGUCACAUUAAAUGCAUCACCUUUGAGUUAUGGUAUCACAUCAUUGUAAAUUAUUGUGGAAGAUAUGAUUGGUUUUAGUUGUUGAUUUUUGUAAUGCUUAUGAAUUAAUAAGAUUAAUCUGUUUAUAUUUUGUCCAUAAAUAUAACAAUCAUAUUAUAUUUAACUCAUUUUUCUGUAAUGUUUCUGGAAUAACUCAUAAUACAUUAAUCAUCUAAUGAUAUUUGUAUAUCAAAUGUUCACAAAAGGAUAGUACGUCCAACAUAUCAAACCCAUUAAAACUAAAAAAGAAGGGUGAAUACAUACCAAAACAUGAUUCAGAAAUGUUAAAGAUCCCAAGAUUCAUGUAUACCUCCAUUUCAUAAGCAUAAAACCGGCUAACCAUAAAAUGACAUAAAAGUCCCAUCUAAAAAUCUAAACUUCUCAGUUGCAAUUAAAGUAACGUUUAUGUCCUAUAACGUAUGACAUAAGAGUUGCAUUUAAAAACCCAAAAUCUUGUUGCCUUCUUCUUCUUUUUUAUUCUCCAUUUCACCCUCCCAAGAGUGUAUACCUGCAUUUCAAAAUUUAAUGAGUUUUAGAGAUUUUUAUUGAAGAAAAUAAACAUGGAUCGAUGUUAUCAUAAAUGAACAAAUCUAAGAACUAUUUUUUUUUUUCAAAUAGAAACAUUAUCCAAAGAAUAAGCAUUACUAUACAAUACCUAUGGAAAAAUUCAUGUAGUAGCUAAGGGACUCACCAUGCAUGGUGAUCAUGAUGCAUCAACAUGAUUCAUGAUUAGUUGUAGCACAAAAGUAGCCCAUUCUCCUCUAAUUUCAUCGAAUUCUACUUGAGAAUAUGUUUUUUUUUAUCACCAAACUGAAAUCAAAUAAGAAAAUAACAUUAAAAUGCAUAACAUUUGAAGGCCUAAAACUAUGUACAAUUCAUUAAAUAAGUAAUACCUUUGAAGCAAUAAUUGUAGGAUAAAAAAAUUAUCUUUUUAGUGAAUCUCAUAACAAAGUAGUCACAUUCGAACCCUCCUUCUUCUCUUGGACACUAAUCGAUCAAUUAUAAAAUAACAUUAGUACUCACAUAUAUAAAUGGUGCAAAUGCAUAAGCUAAUGUGUAAAGAAAAUUUUUUGGAUGUCACCUGCACUAGUUGCUAAGAUGGCUCCCUCUUAGAUGUUUUCUUUGCAAAUAUUCGAAGAGCCCUAUGUAAAUAAGUUCAAUGGGUACAUUUUUAAAAUAGGUAAAUGUUAUAUGUUUUAAUAUAUAUAUAUAAAUAAUAAAAAAAAUGUGUUUGAGGUGAAUGUAUUUUUUUAUUUAAAAAUAAUACUAUGAAAAAUAAUAGGAAGAACUUACAUGUUUACGAUGUCAUUUAAGUCCUCACAUGGUUUGUGAUGCAUAGGGUCAAGAUAAUGGACUAUCAUUUUCCUUGGCUCAAGCACUACCUAAAUAUAAACCCUCUAAGUCCUCAUAUCUAUUUCUAUUAACAAAAUAUAAAAACUUUCCAAAACUCAACUACUUAAAUAUAAAAACAAAAUCAAAUAAAAUAUCUAGCUAAUUGGAUUUUAGAAACUAAAUAAACUAUAAAUAAACUAAAUAUAAAAACUAAAUAAAAUAUCUAUGCCCAUGAAUUAAUUGAAUAGGAUAGAAAGACAUAGAGAGAACAUGGUUAUGGUUAUGAUUUCCAUCUUAUCAUCUCCCGUCAAUACCACACAUGCCCAUUUUAAGGUUGGACACUACUUUUGUUGCUAGACUUGGAAAGGGAACUUCAAAAUUGAAAACAUAAAUAAACCCUUAUGUAAAAAAAAAUAACAUUAAAAUAUAAUUGAGCAUUAAAAUAUUUACUCUCUUUCAUCACUUUCAUUUGAAUAUUAAUAAUCUCUUAUUGAGAUAGAUACUUACAAUUUAACAAAAUAGAAUUUCCUAAUAAUAAAAAAUAUAAAAAUUUCUAUUUCUAUUAACAAAAUAUAAAAACUUUCCAAAACUCAACUACUUAAAUAUAAAAACAAAAUCAAAUAAAAUAUCUAGCUAAUUGGAUUUUAGAAACUAAAUAAACUAUAAAUAAAUUAAAUAUAAAAACUAAAUAAAAUAUCUAUGCCCAUGAAUUAAUUGAAGAGGAUAGAAAGACACAGAGAGAACAUGGCUAUGGUUAUGAUUUCCAUCUUAUCAUCUCCCGUCAAUACCACACAUGCCUUCCCGGAUUGGUCCUUUUGGGGUUGGAUACUCUCAACGAAAUUCUAUAUCUCAUUCCCACUUAGAUACAAACAGAAAAAUCAUUCUUUUUUUUUUCCUCUCUCGUUUUUUAGAAAGGAUGAAGAUUAUGUGAUAAUAAAUCUAAAAAAAAUUAUGUACCUGUCAUUCUCACACAAAUACAUAUUAAAAAUCAUUCAUUUUUUCCUGUUUUUCACUUUUUUUAAGGACUUGAUCAUGUGUUUGGUUUAGAUGAAAAAAUCAAUUAAUCUACAGUUUUUUCUUCUAUGCUAGAAGAUUAAACCUAAAUUUUUUUUCCCUACAACUCAAGAAAACACAAUCCACAAAAACCAUAAUACAAAGAUGUUGAAACAAUUAAUAUAAUGACAUUAAUAAAAGAAAAAAAAAAUGACAGAUCCAAGAGAUUUUGGGUUACUUGGGAGUCCACAAAGUGAAGAAUGUCCGUUGUGAGCGUGUUGACUAUGGAUGGGUGAGAAAAAAGGUUGAAGAAGAUCAUGAUUUUAUAUAUAGGAUUUAUAUAUUGAGAUUUUUUGGAUUGUGGGUGAGAUAUGGAAACAAUGGGAUUUUUAUAUAGUAUCCAUCAUUAUUAAUUCUAAAAGUGGGCUCAUUAAGUUAUAAUACCUAAAAAAAUUUAUUUUAUAUGAUGUCACUUCCCAAAAAAUGACACUAUAAAUAUAAAAUUAAUAUCAUCUAACUACCUCAAUUGAAGAUUUUUUAUAUGAUGUGUCACCUUUAUUAAUUAUAAACCCUAUGGUGUCAUUAUUUUAAAAGUGACACCGUAAAUAGUGACACCAUAAACUAUUUUUGUAGUAGUGCGCUCUCAUACAUAUCUCAUAAAUAAUUAUUAUGUUCAUCUUCUUACACCCUUCCUUUACUCCUAGCCUCAGAUUCUCUGCUUUCGCACCAAGUCCAUCUUCUCUCUCCCAUUUCACUCCCUUGAAGUCGAUUUCUCUAUCAUUUUUCACUGUGUGAAGAAGUGGUUUCUCUUUGUAAGAUGCAUUUUCUCUUGCCUUUUGAUUUCUCUAACAAUUUCAAGAACUAAUCUCACUCUGGAAACUUUCUAUGGGCAUAACUUCUCUCGGUGCAUGAAGAUUACUGAUGUUGGAGCGCUACACAAAUACUCCAGUCAUAAAUCUUCAUACUCUUAUUUCAUGGAAGCACCGAUAAGUCUGUCUUUUUAAGCACAAGAUCUCUAAUAACUAAAAGUUUGAUAGAUGUUGUUCGAUUGCUCUAUGUUCAGGGGCUUGCAAAUGCUUUUGUUUCUACUUGGAUCAGAAAUCACUGAUGCAUCUGUUGCUGCAAAUGCGUCAAGCUAUUCAAAUUGAGAAUUGCUUGGAUUUGAGCAGGUAUGCUUUAGUCCCUAGUCUUGAUUGUUGCUGAGGAUUUAUGAGACAAUCAAUUAUUCUUGAAAGCUACUUGCUUGGGUAACUUGCUAAGGUUCUGUUAGUCUUCAGAUUAAGGCAGUGUGAAUGCUUCUCACCUAAUUAUGUUAUCACCCUUCUUGAUUCUAGAUGAUUUGCAGCUACCUCAACAUUUUAUUCAUUGAGUGAGGUAGUUGGCAAAGCUCUUUUUAAGAGAAAAAGAUUAUUCAUACUCUGGUAACAUCUAUUAAAACAGAAAAAGGUCUGUGAGGGUAGGUUUUCUAAUGGAAACAUUUGUAAGCUGACGACUCUUCACUCUUAUACUCUCUCUAGUUGCUCAGAACUGAAGAAAUGGCCAGAUGACAUGGGGAGCCCACAAUGAUUAGUAAAGGUCGAAGCAAAUGGAAGUGGUAUACAAGAGGUACCCACCUCUAUUACUCUUUUGACAAAGUUUCAAGUAUCAGCAUUAGCAGGAUGCAAGGCAGGGGAAUCCGUGUCAAGGAAUCUGGUUUUAUCUUUGCGCUCAUCACCAACAGAGGGAUUGGGUCUAUGCUACUUGAAAAUGCUGAAUUUAAGUGACUGCAACCUAUUGGAAGGAGCCUACCCAGUGAUCUUGGCUCCUUGUCUUCAUUGGAACGAUUAGAUCUGAGCAGAAACGGUUUCAUUACCGUGCCUGGUAGCCUCAAAAGGCUCAUAGUGGAACAACACUGCAAGAGUCUUCAAUCAUUGCCAGAGCCUCCAUCAAGUAUUCAAGAUUUAUGGGCCACACAUCCCUGGAAACCUUUUCAUAUCCAUCAAGUGCAUAUGCAUUGAACGAGCAGAGCGACACUGUGGAAGCUAUUCUACGGGGAAUUCGGCUUGUUGCAUCAAUACAGAAAUCCAGAGCUCCAAAUGAGCAUUCUGCCUUUCCCUGGAUGUUCUAUUAUUAAAUGUUCGCGUGUGCUAAGAAUUCUUAAAACAUAUUUUAAUAUGGUGUUAAAUAAUUGACGCAAUCCCACAAAAUAAUCUUGGAAUACUAAUCCUAGAAUAUUAUUUCUCGACAUGCCUCCAACCUUUUCAUGAUUCCUGGUAACCCUGGUCUAUCUACUUAGUAUAACAUUGUUGCUUAUGGAAGUACCAUUCCAGAGUGGUUCAUCCAUCAGGGGGUGGGGUGUUCAGUGACUGUAGAGCUGCCCCCACAUUGGUAUAAUACCAAGUUGAUGGGAUUGGCUGUUUGAGCUAUUUUCAACGCAAACAUUACCAUGGGUGAGUUGGCCGAGUUUUUAUGUUUUAGUGUGAAUGAAUCUGGCAGCUUCUAUAUCGACGACGGGGCUUCCAUGCAUUUUUCAAAAGCUGCCCACAUCUGGUUUGGUUAUCGACCGCUUGCUGACCUCUUUUGGGGUUCUGGUGGUCCGUUUAGAAACCAGAGCAACACUUUGAAGGUUUCAUUUUCUCUUGAGAAAGUGGGGUUCGUGUAGUAUCUGAGCAAGACGAUAAAUAUGGGGAAUGGAUCUUUCCUUUUGGCACCCUGUGGCCGGGAGAAGGAGAUGAACCAUCUUUUUCAAUAGGCCUCGAUAUCCUGUACUCCCCAUAUAAGCUUCAGGAAAUCUGGUCCUGAUUUUUUCAUUCCUCAAUUUGUUAAAAUAAAUAUACUAUAAUAUUAAAGCAAUAUUUUUUCUAAUAGCUCAUAUGUAAUGAUACUUAUUUUUAACCAUUGAAUAUCAUGGUAAAGUUGUUUUAAGUGAAUACCUUCUUCUAUAAUCAAUGAUUCUAAUGAAUAUAUAAAAACUUAUUAUUUAAUUUUAUAAACUACUCUUAAAUGUUAUGUUUUAAUUAUCUUUAGUUAAAUAUGUACAAAUUCUAAUAGAAACAUGUUUUUUUUUUUUAAUGUAGAAAAGAUAACAAUUUUUUUUGUUUACUUUAUUGAAGAGUCAACCAAAAGUUUUUAGUGAGCAAAAAAAAAAAAAAAAAAUCAAUUCAAGUUCGAUCAUUUCAUUCAAUUUAGUGAAAAGUACUUUAAUUUCUCCGGAUUCGAAUUAAAAGUUCAAAUAGAGUUGAUUGUAAGAUCAGUAAGCACAUGAGAUCGAAUUGUUGAAUAGUUUCACAUUGUAAUUAAAUAUUUGGUAUUGCUAGUCUUCCAAUGUUAACACUUCUAUAAAAUUAGAUUUUGAUUAUAAAGGUCAUAUUUAAUAGUAGAGAUAAGGAUGGUUUCACAAAAGUUUUCUCAUACCUCAUGGUUGAUUUACCGGUAGAAGUACGUGUUUCAAGUUAAAAGCUUUAUUUAUAACUUUUUAUUCCUUUUUUCUUUCAUAAAUCUAUAUCUUUUUUUGGAUGAAUAGUGUUUUUAUGGUAGAUUUUAUUUUUUAAAAUUCAAUUGGAGUGUCUUCUAAGAACUGUAAAUAGUAAAAUAUGAGAUUUUUCAUUUAUAAAUCCAAAUGCGAAAUAAAUGGAGGAUUGUUAUAUAUAAUAUGGAAUGUGUUUAAUUUAUUCAACAUUGAUAAUUAAAUUGGUUUCAACUUUUAGGAAAUUUUAUUAUGAGAUAAAUAAAUAAUAUUUAGAAGUAUUUACAUUAAUGCUAUGAUAUAUUUUUUAGAUAAUAAAUUCAUAUUAGCAUUGGUUUUAACUACUUUUGGUGGGUUAUAAACUUGUACAAAGUUGUGCAUGUUGAUGGUUGAUGUAUAUGGUGCAAAUUAUGUGUUUAUAUAUUUUAUGUUAAGAGCUCAUGUUGAAUGAAAGGAGCAAGAGUACCCUAAGAAAACUCCAAAUGAUGAUUAUAGUAUUGACUAAACCCACGUAAUAGUGACAUUCACUCCAAGCAUAGGGUGGUUGGUUGGUUGCAAGUAAUAAUUUAACCCAAUAAGUCAUGUGUCAAAUUAUAGGGACUAACUUCAAGGAUUGGAGAAUGUGUAAUAGAAGUUUGGGUACAAUGUGUAUAAUAAUAUGAUUCAAGCUUCAAAAUUCUAAUAUAGAGAUAUGAUAUGUAUAAUGUCAAUGCACCUUUAAAAUUAUAUGUAUAAUAAAUUUUGGGAAUCUCACAAGGACUCUUAUGAUUUGCUAGUUUUUCUGGAACGUGUAAAGAAUGUCAUUGGGCAGCUAACCUUAAUUUGUAAACCAGUUUGGUUAUUUACAUUAUACUAUGAUUUUUUGACUUAAAAAACUAUACAAGGCGAGGAGGUUCAUGCUCACAAAGAGGCCCCAUGUAUGGGACACUAGCAUUAUUCUUUUUAAACAUAAUAUUUUUUACAUUUCCAAUUAAUUAUUAACAUAUCGAGAGCCUACAUGUACUUUUUAAAGAUAAUAUGGUUUUGAUUCCAUUACUUAAGCAAGCGUACUUAUGUAGGUAAAAUUUGACUUAAAUUCAUGGAAUAUUUAUAACUUCGUAUUUUGACUCAUUAAUAUCUUCCUUUUUUUCUUCUUUCCUUUUCUUUUGAAGCCUUAAGCAUAUACUUAAGACAUUCUAAAAGAAGAACUCACAAGAGAACAAGAUCCCAUUGUCUAUAAGUGCAUAUCUUUAUGUCCCAUUGCUAAAUCAUCAUAAGGAACCACUAAUGUUGCUAGAACAAUUACUACGUGAGAUUUUAUUUUAUUUUUUAAAAAACAUUUAUUAUUAUUUAAAUGGUAUGCAUUGCACCUACAACUGAGUUAACCCAUAAUUUUUUCAAUUUGAUUUAUUAAGCUUUUUCAUUGAUAUACUCAAUGCUAAAACAUGCAAUUUUUCUCAAAAUCAAUAAUAUUUAUUUUCAAGUCUUAUUUGAAAGUUUAUUUCUUUUUUGAACAAUUAAUAUGCAAUCAUCCAAUAUUAAUAUAUUGAGUGAAACAAGUUUAUUUAAAAGUUGGUUUUAGCAAUUGAUUCAUUUCUAGAAAUAUCAAAAGGUUGCCUUCUUACUUUUGUUUUGCUCAUACCGAGGAAGAAACAAAUUCAAAAACAAACUCAUUUUAAGAACUUAAAACAUAAUAUUAUAUAAAAGAAAAUGCAACCUUAGGAAUAAACCAACAUGAAGCCAUGAGGUAUAGGCUAAGUUUGGUCUUGGCUUGGAUUGGUUACCACAUGCAUGGAUGGUAGCUAAAUAGCUAUACAAAUCUAAUAUUCCAAUAGUAAGAUAGUCCUAGUGUCCAAAUUAAAAGAGGUGUUUCUCCUUGAAAAUACAUCCAUUUAUUAAGGCAUUUAAGUCUUCAUUUUUUUUUAACUAUGAAGAUAAUGAAAUUUGGAUAGUAAGUCACAAUUGAAAGUUGGGAGAAACUUCCUUAGUAGAAAGUCCGUCAAACAUGGACACUUGCAUGAGAAGCCCUUUAUAUUCUUUCCUUCUUCUAGCUAGGUUAGCUAACAUCUAGAAAUAAAUAUUUAAAUUUAUAUUUCCAUUAGAUAAUGCUUCCAAUACUUUUCUAGCAAAAGCUUCACUAUCCAUCUCUAUGGUGCUUUAGUUUGAAUAACCAUCCAAACAUUUGUGAAUAACCAACUUUAGAGAAGAUGAAAUGAUCCAUUCUACGGACACUUAAUUGAAAGUAUUUACAUAUUAAUUUAUUUAGUUAUAAAAAUUAAGAAACUUACUAUUAAAUUCUUUGGAGCUAAACAACUUAAGAAAAUGCUAUGAUAUUCCCAUCAUUAAUUAAAAUUUAGACAAAUGUGCAAAGAAAACUACCAUAUAAAAUUUUUAACAUGAUGUUAAAAUAAAUUCUAGGAUAUGGUGGAAGCCAAAUUUAUAAAUCCUACACUAGCAAACAUUUAAUGAAUUAUUUACUAAAGUAACAUAAAAUAUUAAAUUAGAUAAAAAUAUUAAAAAUUUGAAUAAAGUAAUUGAUUUCACAGGAAGAAACAAUCAUGAGUUAUUCAGCCAAAUUAUUUUUCAUUAAUGAAAAACAAAUCAAGAUUUCAUUUUUUUACUAUAGGGAUUUAAUUUGUUACACCAUAUUUGUUGAAUUAGGUUGAAAAAAUAUCAUAAAAUAAAAAGAAAAAAGGAGUGAGAAAUAUUUUCAAUGUUGAUACCUUAUUGUUCACCAAUCUUAUAAUAUUUUGAAUGUAUAAUUUCUAAAAACUAACAUGAAAAUGAAAGAUUUAAAAAGUAAUAGUAAUUGGGAUGUUUUUGUGUAAAAAUGCUACCCUAAAUAUAUAAAUACCUUUUUUCUCAUUCCUCUCUCUCUCUCUCUCUCCCCUAGUUUCCUUUUUCUUUUUGACUUUUCAAUCUUGCUUUUAUCUUUUUUCUUUGUGGUGUGAGAAAAGACAAGAAAAUUUUAGUAUUUAUUUAUUUAUUUAUUUAUUUUUGUUUCAAAGUAGUUUUCAUAUGGAGUCAUAUAUAUCCCUCUUUUAUUUGACCUUCAUCUAAACCAAAAUUGGUAAAACAAACACCAAAAUUUUUCUUAAUUAAAAUACAUCAAAAUACUUGGAACAUUAAAUUCAACCAUAAUUUUUUUCUUGACAGAUAAACCAUUGCAUCUUAUUCAACAUCAUCAUUAUUUGCAUUACUCAUCCUCGAACUUAAGAGUGACAUUAUUGAGUUAUUGUACCCCAACAAUUUCUUUCAUAAGAACUUAAACUUGUUAUCCUUAUUUUUUAAUCGAAUUCUUAAAUCUAAUUUUGACCAUCUCAUUUAAAAAUCAAUCCUUGUAUAGCGUGGGUUAGUUAAGCCUUUUAAAAAAGGAGACAACUUAGCAUAUAACUAAGAGUUAAAAUCUAAUUUGUUAUGCAAGAUGGAUAGAUUAGAAUGAGAUGGUCAAGAAUGAAACUUCCUAUGAAAUUCGAUGUUACCAUUCUUUUGAUGAUUACACAUCACAAUACGUAGAAGUAGUAUUAUUGCACUCAAUGGUAUGUAGGCAUCACCUGCUUGGAUGUAAGCCAUAUAUUUACUUUUUUAACUCUAUUAUAGCUUUUCCUUAUAAAUUGUAAAUUUUAAAUAAAUUUCUCUUGCAAUUCAUUGUUAGAAAAUUGUCCUUAUAAAUAGUACAUUUAGAAUUUUAAUUAAAUAUGUCAAAAUAACAUAAAAUAUUAAAUUUUUUAUUUUUUUAGUAAUAAAAUUAAUUUUAUACUGGAAAAUUAAAUUUGAAAAAUAUUUUUAUUAAAACAUCUAAUUUCACUAUUUAAAAAAAAUAAAAUAAAUGUUAGCAUGUUUGAGUGCAUUAUGUUUCAAGGAAAUGGAAUUAAGGAAGAAGUUGAAAAAGGGAUAUAUUCAAAUUAAAGCCCAAAAAAGGGAAAAUGGGAGGAAAAAGUGAGAGAGAAAAGGAGGGACAAGUGGGAAAUAGGGUAGAGCCACUUUCAAUAACACUUUUUGGAUUGUGUAAACUUCCACUUUGUGGACCACCUUGGAUGAUAAUUUUUAGCCGUGUGGACCUAGUUUCAACAACAUUCUUUCAAUCUUGUGAACUCCAUUUUUUGGACCCACCUUAGACAACUUUUUUCAGUCAUGUGGACUCCAAUUUCAAGUUUCAAUAACACUUUUUCAGUCAUAUGGCUCAUUGACACGCAUCAACUCCACACUUAUCUCAUAAGUGUACUUGGUUUUUGGAAAUGUUUUUGCUAGUGAUAGUUCAAUUUGAACCAAAUCAGUAUAAUGUAUAAUUUAAUAUGGUUAAUACAAGCAUAAUUCAAUCUUAUUUUUCUAAAUUUAAAUUAAGCUCGAGUUAAUCAAUUUAGCAUUAGAAGACUAGGUUAAUAAGUGAAUUAAAUUUGAGUAGAAUAAAAUCAUGUAUGAUAUAAUAAAUAAAUAAAUUUCUUUAAUGAAUUCAAAGAUAGUAUAAAAUAAAUAUGGAUAUAAAUUAUAAAUAUUAUAAAAGUAUUAAAUCAAGUUUAUGUUAGGCUAGCUUAGAUCAUUCAAAUCUUGACUUAAAUUAAACUUGAAUUAAAUUCGGAGAGAAAAAUUUGAACUUAAGCCUAAUUCAUAUACUAAAAAUGAUUGGUUGAUCCUACUUUAAAAUUGGAUUGAAUUCAAUUUAGGUUAUACUAAUCCGUCCAAAUUGUAACCUUAUCACAUAUCAAUAUGGUGAAAAUAAUAAAAGAAAAAUUAUAGUGGUGCAAACACCUUUUUUCUUACCAGAAUUAAUUAUCACCAUAGCAUAAUGUAAUAUAAUUAUUUUUAUAGAAUUUAAAAUAUUUAUUUUAGAUUUUCAUUUCAGUUAAUAUCUAAACCCUAUUUUCUAAAAACUGUGAUAAAAACAAAAAUAAUGUUAUUCCACAACUUUUGCAACUCGCCUUUUAACUUCAUAUAUAAUUUUAUGUAACAAUUAUAUAUCUUCUUCAAAGUAUUGACACAUUAAUAUGAAAAAUUAGAAAAAAAAUAAUUUAUUUACAAUAAAUACUUUGGGGCUAAGCAACUAAGUAAGGCAAUCUAACAUCCUAUUGGUGAAUUUUCAUUGAGAUUAAAUGCUAAGAAAAGGAAAUGGAUUGUUGGUAGGUGGACCUAGCUUAGACUAUGCUUGUUAUAUAAGAGUUAUAUUAUACAUAGAAAUUUUUUUAUACUAUAUAUGCUUGUACAAUUGAAUUGAAAAGAAUCCAUUUUUCACUUACAUAACAUAACCUCAAAAAAAAAAAAAAAAAAAAAAAAAAAAAAAAAAAAAAAAAAAAAAAAAAAAAGAAAAAAGGCAACAACAACAACUAAAGGAAAAUGGAGAAAAAAGUGAAAGAAAAUGGAAAAUGCCAGUGGGAAAUGAAGGUUCCCAAGUGGACUCAGUUUGGACAACUCUUUUCGAUCGUGUGAUCCCCUUAGCCUUUUUAAUCAUGUGGACCCUAUUUUAAAUAUCAAUUUUUAACAAUGUGAACCCUACUUUCAACUUUUCCUUUCAUAUGUGCAGACACCACGUUCAACCUUCAUUUCCAUCUAUGUGGACCCCACAUUCUAAUAGAAAAAAAAUGAUAUUAUUCCACAAUUUUAAUUUGAAACUUGCCUUAAAUUUAGUGAUAAAUUCAUGUAAAAAAUCUAACAUCCUAAUAGUAAGUUAGGUGGUCCUAGUGUUCAAAUUAAAUGAGGUGCUUCUUCUUAUGGGAAAUACAUCCAUUUAUUGAGAUAGUGACCCUCUUCUCUUUUCCUUUUUAAAAUUGUGAAGGUAAUGAAACUUGGGUGAUGAGUCACAAUUGAAAGAUGGGAGAAACAUCCCUAGUACAAAGUGGGUCAAACAUGGAACUUGUAUAUGAAGCCUCUAUCCUCUUUCAUUCCUACUUCCAGCUUAGCUAGUCUUUAUAAAUAAAUUUUUAAAUUUAUAUUUUCAUGAUAUAGUCAAGCUUCCAUGACCAUUUCUAUGGAGCUUUUGUUUGAAGAAGAAUCCAAACAUUCGUGAAUGACCAACUUAGGAGAUGAUUUAACGACUCAUUCGAUCAAUGAACCAAACUUACCUUUUUAUUUACAAAUUUAUGUAAAACAUCUCUCCUCCUAGAAUUGACAGUAAUUUGAUAAGUUACAACAACAAAAAAAAGAAGAAAAAGAACUUACUAUUAAAUGCUUUGGAGCUAAGCAACAUGUAUUGGAUUCCUUUUUCUUUUUGACUUUUUUGCCAUUCCUAAGUUUCUGACGUGUCUCCCUGUGGUUUCCUUUUUCUUUUUGGGUUUGCAACCUUGCUCUUGUCUUCUUUUGUUUAUUUUUGCCUUGAUUUAGUUUGGACUUCAGCCACACCUACCAUCUUGAAGUUACGAUUCCCUGGAUUGAUCAUUCAAGUUACCCGUCUUCAAACCAUUCUUCUUCCAAAUUGCAAAUGGCUUCUUCUUCAACCAGUCUCUCCGUAGCUUCUUCCUCUUCCACCCAUCCAUGGAAGUAUGAAGUCUUCCUUAGUUUCAGAGGAGAAGACACCCGCAAAAGCUUUACUGAUCAUCUUCAUGAGGCGCUUUGUCGAUAUGGAAUCAACACUUUCAUAGAUGACCAACUCCGGAGAGGCGAACAAAUAUCUUCAGCACUCCUACAGGCAAUUGAAGAAUCAAGGCUUUCCAUCAUCAUUUUCUCAGAACACUAUGCUUCUUCAAGUUGGUGUUUGGAUGAACUUACAAAGAUUCUUGAAUGUGUCAAAGUUGGGGGACAUACAGCUUUUCCGGUUUUCUAUAAUGUGGAUCCCUCUCAUGUAAGAAAACAAACAGGCAGUUAUGGAGUCGCAUUUACAAAGCAUGAACAAGUUUACAGGGACAACAUGGAGAAAGUGCUCAAGUGGAGAGAAGCUCUGACUGUGGCAUCAGGACUUUCUGGAUGGGAUUCACGAGAUAGGUAAUUCUUCUAACUGGAUUUCUUUUGUUUUCUAUUUGGGUGUUGCUUUUUUAUUCUUCUUUUUCUUUUUCUAAGCUGGAUCUACUUAAAUUUCUUUCUGGGAAUUGAAGUAUGUAGUAAUCCAACUUUUCCUGUUGGUUUAUCAAAGAGAAAAAUGAUAAGGCGAGGAUGAGGUUUGGUUCUCCUUGAUCUCAAAAAUCACAAGAAGCAUAGGGUUGUUUUUCUCUUGGGAUUAAUGCUUGAACACUUCCUCAAACCCCAUUGGAUCAGUGGUUUUUCAACCUUUCCGAAGGCCCACUGGGAUACCCGACCCGGCCCAUUAAUUAAUUGGAUCACCAUAUAUGUUUUUUUUAUCAGCUUUGAAAAUCAAUCCUGGUGGCGUCAAAAUGCACCCAAUAGCUUUUCUAGUGUUCCUAACACAAGUUCUAAGAUGUUCUCUAUGCAGACUGCUCAAUUGGGAGUGGGUCAGACUGAAUAAUAGUAUCUUGGAUUAUAUAAUUUCACAAUACAUUAUUCCUAGCUUCAUGUCUCUUCUUUUAUUGGAUACUAUGUGCAUAUUAUUCCUAGCUUCAUGUCUCUUCUUUCAUUGGAUACCAUGUGUUGCCAUCCUAAUAGCAUGAUAGCAGUCAAUUUUAGCUUCGUCUUGUUGAGUUAUAUAUAUUUUGUUUGCCUCUUCUUUCUUUUUUCUUUUUUAUCUUUUUUUCAGUCGCAACCAAGAACAAAUCUAAGCACUUCUAUAUUUAUCUAUUUUUCUUGGUCCCCUAAUGACCUUAAAAAAAAUGACCAUACGAUUGUUCUCAAUUUGAAUUUUACAGACAUGAAUCCGAGAUUAUUAAGAAAAUUGUAUCCAAGAUCUUGAAUGAAUUGGUGGAUGCAUCCUCAAGCAACAUGGAGAAUCUAGUUGGAAUGGAUUCUCGUAUACAAGACUUGGUUUCAUUAUUAUGUAUUGGGUCAGAUGAUGUUCGGAUGGUAGGAAUUUGGGGUGUGGCUGGCAUAGGUAAGACUGCCAUUGCUAAAGUUGUUUAUCAGAAAAUUUGCACUCAAUUUGAAGGUUGUUGCUUUCUUUCAAAUGUUAGUGAAAAAACACAAAAAAGUGAUCUAGCCAAUAUACAAAUGGAACUCCUUUCACAAAUUUUGUGGGAAGGAAAUCUAAAUACAAGAAUUUUCAAUAGAGGAAUCAAUUUUAUAAAAAAGGCACUCCACUCCAUGAAGGCCCUUAUUGUUCUUGAUGAUGUGAAUCACCGACAACAAUUGGAGGCAUUAGCAGGAAAUCAUAAUUGGUUUGGUCGAGGAAGUCGAAUUAUCAUAACAACCAGAGAAAGACGUUUGCUAAUUGAGAAAGAAGUGGAUGCAACAUAUGAAGCUAAGGAAUUAGAUGAGGAUGAAGCUCUUAUGCUCUUUCGUCAGCAUGCCUUUAAACAUAAGCCUCCUAUAGAAGAUUUUGUUCAACUAUGUGACCGUGCCCUAAAUUAUACAAAAGGCAUUCCCUUAGCCCUUAAAAUCUUGGGUUGUUUUCUAUACAAUAGAAGCAAAAAAGAAUGGGAAAGUGAAUUGGAAAGACUCAAAAGAAUUCCAAACAAAGAGGUUCAAGAUGUGCUUAGAUAUAGUUUUGAUGGAUUAGAUGAUAAUCAAAAGGAGUAAGAGUUUGAUCAAUUCUAGCUUCAUCUUGUUGAGUUAAUUUUUGUACUCAACCAUUUUUUUUUUUAGUUUGCUUGCACAAAUAUGGGAAGGAAACUAUGUAUGCUUUAUAUUUGUUGUUUUUCUUUAUGGAUUAUAAAGUUCAUCAAAGUAGAUUUGUUCUAGCCCUUUUUGUCCUCUUUUUCUUUGACAGUCUUUACCAAAGUUGAAGUUCAUCAACCUUAGCCACUCUCAACAUCUAAUAAAAACUCCAAACUUCUUUGGAGCUCCAAAGCUUAAGAGAAUAAUUCUUGAAGGUUGUGCAAGUUUGGUUAAGGUUCACCCAUCCAUUAGAGAUCUUAAGAAGCUUAAGGCCUUGGGCGGUGUUUUUGAAAACUUGUUUUUAAAAUAAAGAACAAAAAACAAUUUUUUAAAAACAAGAGUGUUUGACAAGAUGUUUAAAAAAAAAUCGUUUGGAUGAAAGAAUUGGUAUUGUUUUUUAAAAACAUUGUCUUAUUUUUAAUUUAUAAAAAUUUUAUAAAUUUAAUUUAUAGUAAUAUGAAAUCAAAUUCAAGUUAAAUCUUAUUAAAAAAAAAUUACAAUUAUGUAUUCAUUAAAGAUAAAUAUUUUUUUCAUUAUGAAACAAUUUUUUUUUAUUCUAGUGAAACAAAAAUUACUAUAAGAUAAAAAUAAUUUUAAUAUUCAUUUUUAAUACAAGUCAAAUACAUACUUCAAUUGUUUUUUUUUCUAUUGACAAAAUAAAUAAAUAUUGAAUUAAAAGUAGCUAGCAAAAAAGUAAGCAAAAAAAGCAUAAAGAUGCAAAAAAAAGUAGUUCAAGUGAAUUACAAUAGUUGCAUAAUUUUUCUUACUCCUAAACAUUAAUAAAAUUAUUUAGCUAUAAAUUUUUACAAAUUAUUAACAUAAGCAUUCCACAUUUGUUGAAAAAUAUGAUUUCGAUAAGCUACCAUAGCUGCUACUUCAUUGAACAAAUUCAUUGUAUGACUUGUUUCACCCGUAGUAGUGUCUUCCUUAUCUCCAACUUCAAAAUCUUUUUCUUCCCAUUAUCUAAACAUUAUAUCUUGUUGAGUCCACAUACGAAUGAAAUUAUGAAUAUUACAAUAAGUUAUAACUAUUAAUGGUUGCCUACUUAGAUUAAAAUAUGACAUCAUUUUUAAAAUUGGAAAAUGUGCUUUAAACACACAAAAACAACGCUCAAUUCUAUUUCUAAGUGAGGAAUGCUAUAAUUGAAUAAUUCUUUGUAAGUCCUUGGUUGAUGACCUCAACCAUGAUAAUCUUGUAAAUGAUAUCUUUCAGCUUUUAAUGGAGGAAGAAAACUCAUAGUACAUGGGUAUCCAAAAUAAACCACGUGGUAUUCACCUAUUAAUAUAGCAAAGCAAAAGCAAAAUGAUAAUCAUAGAAUUAUAUAACUAAUUAAUAAAUUAGUAAUUUAAAUGGUUUUAUCAUUUACCUUUUUAAGCCAUGGAAAUUUGUUUUCAAGUCUUAUAAUUGCAUUAAGAAAAAUUCUUGAAUCAUUUGCAAUGCCUUCCUAACCUGCAUAAACAAAUGUAAACAUCAUAUCAAAAUUGUAUGCACAAAACAUUUUGAGUCACUACAACCUUUCUUCCUCUAUAGCUAACUUGUUUUUCAAUAGGAACAAAUGCACUUAUGUGUGUGCCAUCACUUGCACCAAUGCAUUUCUGUUAACAACAAAACAUGAUGAUUUUUAGUUUUGAUUAAAGCACUUAAAAUAUUUUAAAACUUAUAUUAAUAUAUAUGAAGUCUUCCCUAAAACCAUGGAUAAUACUUUAAGUUGUUGACAAUAUGAGAAGGCAAUGGAGAGCUAGUAUGACAAAUAAAAUCUUUUGCAAGUUUACAUAUUGCCCUCAAAGUUCAAGUGAAAUGUCCAUUCACAGUCUCAAAUGAAUGUUGAAAAUGAUCCACUAUAACUGUUAUUCCCACAUUAUGACCAAUAAUUAUUAGAAACAGAGCAAGUGCUUCUUCAACCAUGACUUCUCAAGAGUUUUUUAAAUGCUCAUUUUCUUUCAAAGAGGCAUAAAGAAGAAGAAGAAAUGUGAUUUCAUUGAUCAAAAAUAAUUCUUAACAUGUUCUUUCAUAGCUAUUCAAUAGCCCCAUCACAAAAUCUUCACCUCUCAAAAUGGAUGUCCUUUGAGGCAUCUUAUCCAAAAAUCUUUCAUCUUAUUCACAUACAUAGAGUAACAUUAUAUAAUCUUCAAAAUCUUCUAUACUAGAAGAAGACAAGGAAGAUGAACUAAUAACACAAUGGGAUUUAUGAUCCAUAUACAGGGUAAUCUUUUUAUCGUGCAUAUAAUAUCACCACACAUAGUAUCAUAUAUAAUAGUUUUAUUAAGUGAAUUAAUAACAAUAUUAUAAUCAAAAUAUCAAGAUAAAACCUAAACUAAGAUUAAAAAAAAACACAAGAAAAUAUUUUAUGUAUGUUUAUCAUGUAUCAAACACACAAGAUAAUGAUUUAGUACACAAUAGGAAAUAAAAAGCAUAAAAUAAACAACCAAUAAUUGAAAACAAAACCAUGAAUUAAGACUAUAUAUGUAAAAAUAAAACUAAAUAUAUUCCAAAUAUGUCAUAUAAAGUAAAUUCAUCCAACCAAUUAAAUCCAUAUGUAUCUAAACAACCAAAUAAAGCCCAAGUACAUCCUAUCUAAUAAAAAAAAAACCCACAAAUAACUACAAUCUCGCUAAUCGAGAUUUCUUUCUAUCGAUAGACAUAUGAACAAAAAUCUCUCUAACUUGGAUCCUUAAAAUUCUCCAUUGCUUUCAUUUAAGUAUCAUCAUCAAUUUGCUCAAUCUCUUCAGUGAGACACACAUAAUUAGUCAAGGAGAAAUCUAAAUUGAUAGUAAAAUUGUUUUUGCAUUUUUCUGUUUAGUUAAAGAAACUUAUGUUUUUACUUUAGCUACCUCAAUCCAUGCUUGAAGCACAUCACACAUCUGUUGUGAUCUAAUCUCUUUUUUAAUUUUGUGCUCAACACUUGUUAUUGUUCGUUUUUCAUGUUAACUUGUUGAUUCAUCAAAGAUAUUAAAGGGAUCACUAUGGUUAGUGCUAUUAGCAUCAAGACCAACAUGAGUUCUUAAGUGGAGAAAUUGCUUCUCCAAUUCUAUCUCAUCAUUCAUAUCAAGUGGAUCUUGAGUGGAUGCAACAUGAAGCACUCCAAUAGUAAUAGAUUUAUCAAAUAUGAGUCCCAAUAGCUUGUAAUGCUCACAUCCUCUAUUUCAAAAUUAUCAUGCUUUUAGACGAGUCUAACAAAAUAAAUAAAAAGUAUGAAUUUUGUAAACCCUCCAUUUUGUCCCUUUAGCACAUGUCUUUAAGUUCACUUCCGGUUCUUCACAGUACUUCCUUGAUGGCCCAUUACUACUCAUACUACUUACCUUUUUUUAGCCACCUUAUAGACUUUGGUUGAGGGAUUUAUCUAACCCCAUUGUGACUCUUAGUAGUCCUAAUUUAGACUUAGGCUUUUCCUUCCUUUUUAGGAUAGCUUUUAGGUGCACUUUUAAGAUAGCACACUUAGGCAUGCUUAGGUUACUUAGACAAUGUCCUGAUCACUUUAGGUCACUUAGGCAAUGUCCUAAACACCUUAGGCCCACUUAGGUACACUUGGCUCAUUAGGCACCACCUUAGGCCACUUAGGCACUUAGCUCAUUAGGCACCGCAUUAAGCCCACUACCUUAGGCCCAUCUAGGUUCACUUAGGCCCACUUAGGUUCACAUUGGCCCACUUAGGUUCACCUAAGCACACUUGGCCCAUUCCGUUCGCCCUAGCACACUAGGACACACCCUAGGUCACCUUUAGGCAUUUCUCCAUGGUUUGCAUGGUUUUCGUAUUUUUAUUUUUAUUUUUUAUGGUUACAUGGCUCGUAUGGCUUGCAUGUGGUUGAUUUUUAUUCUUUUUUUUAGCUACAUGAUUUAAAUUUCUUUUGAUUUUCAAUUUCAUGAUAUUUAUUGAUUUUAAUCUUUGUUUUGUUUUUAUUUUAUUUUAUCUUUUUUUUUUUUUAUUGUUAUUUUAUUUCUUGCAUGAGGAAACGAUUGCUAGAUUUUUGGAAAGAGGAUCACCAAGAUUUUUCACAAAGGAAAGUCCAAAGGCUGCAAAUGGGGUGCAAAUGUUAAGGAUAUUCACACACCAAAGGGAUUCUAGUUCUAGAAGGAAAAAUAUUUAGAGGGGAAGGUGGAAUUCUCCAGAUUCGUGGCUACCAUGUGAAGAAUUUUCUCCAAGAAAGGAAGGCAUGGUUGAAGCACAAGAAGAAGAGAUUCUUAAAAAAUACAACAAACAUAUCAUAUGGGAUUCAUGCACCAUUAAAGGAAGGAUAAGAGGUUAGUAAAAGUUCUUUCUUUAACAGAGAGGGUCCACAAUAGGGGAAAAAGGAAAGGAUUCUCUUUAUCCGAAUAAAAAGGGAGACUCACGGAUGGGAGAAGGUGGGAGGAAUUUCUCCACUGAUCAAAAGGACGGGCAGCAAUGGAUGAGAUGCGGCUUGGGUAGUGUGAAUAUGUUAGUAGAACGUUGAGGGUUGUAGGAGAGGAUUAGAGAUAGAGACACUAUGGCUUUGAGAAGAAAGGAUCAUCACAGACCAAAAAAGGGAACCAGAUGAGAGGAAGGAAAGAAGAGAAGCCCAUGAGUUCUUGAAUUCCAAAUAAGAGAGUCCCCAACAUCCUCUCGAGGCUUGAAAGGAAGAAGUGGCAAAUGGAAAUUUUGUGGAUGUAAAUUUGUUGGCUGGGAUCGAGUAUUCUCAAGUGGGAAGUAAGAUGGUUUCGACUUCUGAUGAAAAAGAUGCACGUUGUAGCACUACUGGAUAAGAGCCUUUUGAGGCAAUUGAUCCAUCUUUGCCGAUGAUGGAGAUUUCUAAUGUAGUGAGCUAGAAUGAACCUCAAGCAAUGAUCACUGACAAAGACAAUCAAGAGUCUAAGAAGUUGGAAUUCUGCCCUGUUCUCUAAUUCUACAGUGAAAGAGAAUGUUGGUACUGUAGCAUGAUGCUGCAGGUGAAGAUGCAUUGAGGGGUUGGCUAGUUGCUGCAUAUGCUACAAACCUGGAGAAAAUUGGUCAUGAGCCAAGUAUGACUAUCUUGUAAUAGUCUUACGAUAAGAUGAAUAGUGUUUUCUCUACCUUUUUAACCCAAAUGCAGGCCAAAGGUUGGCAUACAGAUUGUUUUCUUGAUGGAAUAAGAAACCGUUUUGCCAGUUAGUAUUUUGCAGUUUCAGAUGGAGCAGAUAUUUGUUGUUGGUCUGGUAGCUAGUGUGUUGGAUGAAAAUAUAAUUUGAUGUUGGUAAUGGGAAGGAGGCUACUCCAUAUGAUUUGCAUCUCAUGAAAGAGCCACGUGAGAUCCCCCGCAUGGUGGAGAUCUGUUAUUGAAAUCGGUGGGCUCUCUAUUCUUAAACACCCCAGGUUACUAAGUCUAAUACAGGAUAAACUAUUUUGUAAUCUGAUCCAGUUUGGCUUGUCAAUGAGACCACUAAUUCUUUCUAUGUUUUGUAUCAUUGUUCUCAAUCUGUAUCAGCAUUUGUGGACUGAGCUUAAACUACAACUUAAGGCUUUCUUUUCCUUUGUGAUCUUGUGACUUGCUCAAAGCAGAUAUGAUGCUUAUCCCAACAGAAAAUAGUUACUAUGGAGGCUUUAGUUGACUUUUGCAAGCAUAAAACUUUCAUGAUAGAGAUGUAUGCUAACUUGGGCGGUGACAUAACUUGAAGCAAUGUGUUUGAAGACUCUGCUAAUUUGUUGUCAAAAAAAUGCAUUUCUUGUGAACUACCCUUUGUCUACUAUGCAUCUUCUUGCUUUGAAUGUCUUGAUUGUUGUAAUUCAGGGAUGACCAAACUCUGAUUGUACUUUAGAAAGAUUGAAGGUUGUUCUAUUAUUAUCUAAACUUCCAUUGGAAACAGUUGGGGAAUCAUUAAAUAUGGAGCAGUUAUUUGAUGCAGUAAAUGUUAUCCUUCCAUUACUGAAUGCAAAUGGUGGUUUUGCAAUAGAUGAACUCAAUUGAUGCACCUAGAUGGGAGCUACUGCUAUGCUUCUAGUGGAAAAGUCUAAAAAAUUCUUGGAUGUUGGAAGUAGUUUAUCAUAGUAAAGAAGUCUCCACCAAUUCAACCUUCUUCACCAUGAAAGCUCAGUUCUCUUCGACCAGACCCGUUUUCUGAGGUUGGCUUCUGCACGUGGGUUUCAAAUGGUUUGGGUUGUUGAAUGGAGGAGACGUAUUUAGUACAAAUAAAUCACAAUGGAGAUGGUACUGAAGAUGCAUCUAAUGCAUAGUCACUGUCUUUAGAGUCUACUGGUAUAUGUGAUGCCUUUGGAAAUCCAGAGGUACUUCCUCAAAUUAGAGAUCAAUACCAAGUUGACUUUCCAACUCUUAUUACAGAAUCUGAUUAUCUUUAGCUUACAAUACCCAACUGAUGCUGCAACAAUGGUUGACACUCCUCACUAUUUUUUAUUGGGAUUGCCCAUACCAAUUAUGUGGGUCACUGAUGAAAUUGAGAACAUUGAACAUGAACCUCUGGAACUUCAUGGUGCCAAAUAAUGGAAUUCAUUGAACCAACUCAUGCAAAAGUAAUUUGGGACUUGAUGGAACUCCUACAUAAGAAAAUUUUUCAAAACUCUUCCUUGCUGCCACUUUUCACUCAAUCAUCGACCCUUUAAAUUUAAAAUUCGUUUCAGCAACUUCAGAAUAUUUUUAAAAAGUUUCUGAAACUUGUAUGAUUUUCCUCAGCUCUUGAACUUGAAUUUAAAAUUUCAUUUGAGUAAGAAAUAAAUUAUGGAAUUGAAGAUAUAAAUGAGUUUGUAGGAGGGCUAUGUUUUCACCUAGUUCUGAACACCCAAAAUAUUUUUGCAAAAAUAAAAUAACAGAUAACUUUUUAAAUUUGAUUUGAUAUUUUUUUUUAAUUCUAUACUUCUUGAAAUUGAUCUUAGAUGUAUAAAAUAUUAAAAAAUAUGUCUUUUUGAGGGUGAUAUGAUUUUUUAAAGUCGUACCUACUGUACAUGAUGGAUUCUGGACGUCUGAUUAGUUAGAACGUUUUAAAAAUACUUUUGAGUGCUACCAGACCCUGGAUUCAUUUUUUUGUGAUAUAGACACUUUUAAUGAUGUAGGUGAUUUUUUGUAUGAUUUUAUGUGAUCUCUUAUUGUUUUUUAAAAGAUUUGAUUAUGCAUGUCACUAUUGUUUUUACCUAAUCUGGACCUUCUGGAACUUUUGGGUGUCUUUGCUGCUAUUUGUCAUUUGAAUGAGUGUUUGGCUUUUAGUAUCUUGUUCUAGAUGUGUAGGAGUUGUUUCCUAAAAAAUUUUGUAAUUAAAUCCCACUCCAAAACAUUUUUUUCGAAAUUAUUUUGUGAUGCUCCCUUUUCUAAUUGCAUGCUGAUGAUCUUGUACUUUGCUUGAAAUUGUUAUUUAUUUUUAGUCAUUUGACUUAUCUUGGCUCAAUUUUGGCUUUGGUGCUGUAUAUUAGUCAUAAUAAAGAUGUUAUAUAAUUUAUACUUGUCCUAACCACCAUAGCAUUUUUGAAUGAAUCUUAUAAAUUAUGCAUGCUAUCUAGGUAUGCUCUCUAUCACUCACUAUUCAGAAUUUUAUGAACAUGCAUGUUGUUGUGAGUCAUAUCUAUAUUUGAUUCCAUCCAUGGGUGCCUAGAUCUCUAUUCGAUUUGCUCUGAUAAAAUACAUGUCGUGUGUUAUAUUUCUGUGCUAACUUUAAUGUCUUAUGAUAGCACUUGAGCGGCAGUCCAGAUACACAUCCUAACCUUCCUUUGCGAUUGUGAUUUGAUUUCUUUUUUAGCAUGCUAGUUUCAAAAUCACCUUAACCUACAUAGGUACCUUCAAUUAAUUGAUUAAUUGUCAUUUCUUCCUCGACUUAGCUAGUAGAGACCUCUUUAGGGCUUAGAGGGGUGCUACCUAUUUGAGGUACCUUCCCAAUAAGUAACCGAUCCCUGGUCUUAGACUUAGGUUUUCAAAGACACGUUUUUCCAAAACUAUGGAGUCACUUCUUUAGGGUUUUCUUUUUUGUUUUAUUUUCCCUUUUAAAAUAAAUUAAAAUAAGUGGCGACUCCAACUUUUCCAAAACUAAUUUUUCACCAAUAAAAAUGAGUCUUGCCAUUAAGUAGGGACAUACAUGAAAAAUGAAGGUCCACAAAUAUACAAUAUGAUAAAUCAAGGAAAAUUAUGUGUAUACAUAUUCUAGAGUUUUAGCACAUUUACGAUAGUUUUGCCACAUGUCUUUUAUAGAUUGCAUGGUGGUCAUUUCAACAUUCUAACCAAACUCUAUUUGUUUCAAUAGCUCACUAAAUACUUGAUGCUUGGUGCGUAACCUGUCAAUGAGUAGUUCAGAUUUCCUUUUCUUUUCAAAUAUUCAUGAAUUUUAGUCCAUAUUUUUUUGUUCAAAUACUCCAUUUCUCAUAUUCCCCUUGUUCACUUACUUUACCAUGACAUCCAUGAAUUUUUUUUUUCUAUGAUAGAACUCCAUAAAUUUGACUCAUCUACAUCAUUUAAUUUAAUAGAUGUUGUUAGUAUAGAUUGAUCCAUUGGAUGUUGCAAAAAAAAAUAAUAAUAAAUAAAAAAAAUUCAUGAUGCAUAUAAGAUAUUGCAUUAUAUUUAAGUAUAAUUUAUAUAAUGAAUUUUAUUACUAUAAGCCUAUAAAAUGAAUAAUGUUACCUGAUGAAAAUAAUAUGAACAAUAGCAUUGCCAUUAGUUAAUUCUUUUUUCAAUAGUUAAUACAAUAUUAUUUAUAAAAGAAAACGUUAAAGAAGUGCUAGAGGAAAGUAUUCAUUCCAUAGAGAUGACAUCAAAGAAACAAUUACAUGAUAAUAGGCAAAACGAGAGCAAAGGUCAGGUUGAAGUGAAACAACAAGCUCAAGUUCAGAGAUGAUGCAAUAGAUGAUAAUGUGUAUGAAUUCUCACACUAAUUAAUGGCUAAAUUAGUCAACAGAAUUGUGAGAGGUAUUGCAGAAUCACCUUGAGAUGGACUGGAAGAUCAACUAGGAAAAUCAGAAAGUCAAUUUGGAAAGAUGAGAUACUAAGCAAGUUAUUAGUCAUGCUUGAAACUUUUAAAAUAUUAUUGAGAUAUAAAGGCAUUGAAUAAGCAUAUAUUAGCAGAUAAAAUUUGAAUUUUUAAAUUGAUAGAGAUAGUCCUAAAAUGGCAAUUCUUUAGAACAUUCAACAAUGCAAAACAAUUUCUUGUCAUGAUUUACACACAUGCCACUUUUAUUCAAAAGCUUUUUUAUAUUGUAUAUAUUAUUAUCAAGCCAUGGGAAUAUAAGCAUCUAAUAUUUUAAUUAAGCCACUUCAUAGUAAGAGUAUAGUUUUAUAGUGUGGAAUAUAAAGAAUACAGAAACAAUAUUAACUUUUUUAUGAAAUAUUAAAAGUGAAAUUCUACAACAAGUUGGUUUUAUGUGUGUUGUUAAGUUGUUAAGCACUAAUUCUUUGAGUUCAAGUUAGACCCCAUCAACUACUAGUUUCUUGGGCUUGUUCUUAAGGUGUUCCUGAGCUUGGUUAAUUCUAUAGAGUUUCACAAACAUUUAGAAGAAAUUACAAUACUUAGGUAAACUUUGUCUAUGAUCCUCUAGCCCCUUAUAUGUUUUUAGCACAUGAUGAAUGAAGCUUUUUUACCUUGUCCAUUCAAUUGGAAUUUGGAAUUUAGUAUGGAGAACAUGUUUCUAUUAGGCAUAACUCGGUCGAAACGAUCCAAGAUAAUAGACACUUUUGAUAAGGUUGGAUGUUAUUAUCUCUUGUGUUGAUUUUAUAGGAUAUGGCCUUGCCAUUUUAAAAUCCCAAAUUGCUUAGUUGCCAUUUUAAGAUUUUCAAGUUUAUGAGAACACCAUCAUCCCUCAGGAAACAACCUUUAUUGGAUAUACUUUCCUAAGACUAGAAAUUGGCAGUAAUUUGGACCUCCAUAUUCUAAAUAACCUCUUUCAAAUAAGAUUAAAAUUCAUGAUAAAACUUAAACCCAAAACAGAGGCUUUAAGGUAUAUUAAUUAUUAGAAUUUCAAGAGAAAUUGUGAUAAUGUUAUCAACAUUAUUAACGUUUAAAUUGUUAUCAACAACUCUCUCCAUGUCAUCUUAAAAUAUAAUGACCAACAACAGUACAAACAGAACACAAAUUCAGAUCUAGGCAUUUUAAAAGCUUGCACAAUCUUUGUCACCAAUCUUGCUAUAUUGCAAGGAACUUUCCAAUCCUAAGUACAAUCAUUUGUCACAGAAUGACUAACAUAUGAUAUGAUUGACUAAAGCACAAACAACCUUAUUGGCUUUUCUUAAAACAUGACAACACCCAACAACUUCAAAGCUCUUAAAAUCUCAUUAACAUCACAUAUGAGGAAAAAAAAAAACCCUGAAUAUAGUUAGGGUGUCAAUAUUUUGUUUUUUUUUUUAAUAUCAAUAAACAUAUUGGUAUUCAUUCAAUAGAUCAAGUUCCAUAGGUUACUAGCAUUUCCUUCCACCCACUCCUCUUAGUUACAAAUAAGCCUAGAAUCAACCGAAAAGGAAAAUCCCCAAAUCAUAUGGGUUCAAAAAUUAAACCAGGUGCUGAAAAUUAAGCAUUUCAAUCAAAUAAAAUAACACAAUAAUUUCAAUCAAACGGAGACAUACAAUCUAUUUCAAUAAAAUAGAAUCCAAAUAACCAAAACCCAUAUCACAUCUUACCUAAAUAUCAAAGAAACAUUCCUUCAAAGUCUAAAAAAUCAUAUUCCUCUUACAUUACAAACAAAAAUACAAUGUUUAGUAAGUUGAUGUCUCUUUAGACUCUUACUCUUUCUGGUUGUUCAGAACUGAAGAAAUUGGAAAAUGACAUGGGGAACCUACAAUGUUUAGUAAAGCUCAAAGCAAAUGGAAGUGGU
RNAcentral lists this long non-coding RNA (29189 nucleotides) under Vitis vinifera (wine grape). RNAcentral's name for it is "long non-coding RNA (VVIN_LNC003885)". Lineage: Eukaryota; Viridiplantae; Streptophyta; Magnoliopsida; Vitales; Vitaceae. The record is from RNAcentral.